This 67-nucleotide transfer RNA is filed under the name Staphylinidae sp. BMNH 1274679. RNAcentral describes it as "tRNA-Ala". The record is from RNAcentral. Lineage: Eukaryota; Metazoa; Arthropoda; Insecta; Coleoptera; Staphylinidae.
AGGAUUAUAGUUAAAAUUAUAACAUUUAAUUUGCAUUUAAAAAUUAUUGAAAAAUCAAUUUAUCUUA